Molecule: ribosomal RNA, 386 nt
Filed under: uncultured bacterium
Lineage: Bacteria
Description: bacterial SSU rRNA
Rfam family: Bacterial small subunit ribosomal RNA
Source: RNAcentral
AUUGAACGCUGGCGGCAUGCUUUACACAUGCAAGUCGAACGGCAGCACGAGUGCUUGCACUUGGUGGCGAGUGGCGAACGGGUGAGUAAUACAUCGGAACGUGUCUUAAAGUGGGGGAUAACGCAUCGAAAGAUGUGCUAAUACCGCAUAAUCUCUAAGGAGAAAAGUAGGGGAUCGUAAGACCUUACGCUUUUGGAGCGGCCGAUGUCUGAUUAGCUAGUUGGUAGGGUAAAGGCUUACCAAGGCGACGAUCAGUAGUUGGUCUGAGAGGAUGGCCAACCACACUGGGACUGAGACACGGCCCAGACUCCUACGGGAGGCAGCAGUGGGGAAUUUUGGACAAUGGGGGCAACCCUGAUCCAGCAAUGCCGCGUGAGUGAAGAAGG